Molecule: long non-coding RNA, 395 nt
Organism: Hippopotamus amphibius kiboko
Lineage: Eukaryota; Metazoa; Chordata; Mammalia; Artiodactyla; Hippopotamidae
Exons: 3
Source: RefSeq, a predicted model, not a curated record
GCAAAACAUUGUAAACCUGCUGGGAUGAUAAAAUAUAGCACUUCUGUAUGAAGUACAGCUAAAGGAGUGGAAAAAAGAUCCAAUAUUUCCCACAAUAAAAUGGAAUACCUGUGGACAAAGCAACAUACUCAAAACAUACAGGGAGAUGAAAGAAGAGUUGAUGGAAUUUCAAAACUCAUACAAGGAUUCAACUCAGGUUUUGCAUUUGGGGCAGGAAUACUACACAAUCAACGUUAGUGCACCCCACCCGAUGAGACUCCUAAACAAGGCAGGCUGAGUCUACAACCUGUCAGCCUACCCUGCAGAUUUUGGACUUGCUGGCGCCAUAACCGUGUAGGGCAAUUCCCAAAAAUAAAUCCCCCCUCUCUCCACACACACACACACACACACCCCCC